Molecule: long non-coding RNA, 1509 nt
Organism: Bos taurus (domestic cattle)
Lineage: Eukaryota; Metazoa; Chordata; Mammalia; Artiodactyla; Bovidae
Source: Ensembl
GUUUCCUCCACUGCAAACUGGGGGUGUGGGGGCCCCCCUCCCGGUGUCACUGGGAAGGUUAACAUGUCAUGUAGGGAAACCAGAUGGGGUUGGGAAGGGGCGCCCCACAUUUUGCAGGUCCUGCUUGGGAAAUCAAACCUUGAAUGUUCUGUUUUGGCUGACUGAGCACCAUGCCUGCACGUUAUUGCACAGAAAGAUGCCAAGCACCUUGAGCAACCGUAAAACUAAAACUUGGGGCUUCCCUGGUGGCUCCGUGGUAAGGAAUCUGCCUGCCGAUGCAGGAGACGCAGGUUCAAUCCCUGGUCCAGAAAGAUCCCACAUGCUGAGGAGUAACUAAACCCUGCACCACAAGUACUGAGCUUGUGGUCUGCAGCAAGAGAAGCUGCCACAACGGGAAGCCUGCGUGCCCAGACCAGAGAGGAGCCCCUGCUGUCUGCAACGAGAGGAAAGCCUGGGCAGCGACGAAGACCCGGCACAGCCAAAACGUUCAAUCUUUCCCAGAAUCAGAGUCUUUUCCGAUGAGUCGGCUCUUCAAAUCAGCCCAAGUAUCAGAGCUUCAGCUUCAGCAUCAGUCCCUCCAACAUGUAUUCAGGGUUGAUUUCCUUUAGGAUUGACUGAUUUGAUCUCCUUGUAGGCCAAGGGACUCUCAAGCGUCUUCUCCAGCACCGCAGUUCAAAAGCAUCAGUUCUUCGGCACUGAGACUUCUUUAUGGUCCAAUUCUCACUUCUGUACAUGACUACUGGAAAAACCAUAGCUUUGACUAGAUAGACCUUUGUCAGCAGAGUGGUAUCUCUACUUUUUAAUAUGCUGUCCAGGUUUGUCAUAAUUUUCGUCCAAGGAGCAAGCAUCCUUUAAUUUCAUGGCUGCAGUCACCGUCUGCAGCUAUUUAAUUGCUCCCUUUUGACAAAUGGACUGCAGACAUGGGAGAAGAUGGCUUUGGGGAGGCUGAGGAGUGGAGGUAGGGGAGACAGAACUCUUUGUACAUCAUUGCAACUUUUCUGAAAUAAUAGUCUGGAUGAGCUAAACCUAUCCAAAGUAAAAACUUCCUUUUCAUGAAGUCAACAUGAAUUUUGGCCCAGAUGGGGCUGUGUCUCUGGGGGAGGCUUAUGCUUCAGGCUACAGAAUACACGGAGCCCUUUGUCACCCUCGAGAAUCGGUGACGUUGGGUCAGGGGGCCUUGGCUCACCAGACAUGAGUGUAAGGCCGCCUCGGGGCCAAGAGGAUUGGAGGGAGGAGCAGGCUUGGGAACAAGAGGGAUAAGUACCCAACCCUUUCCUUUUUCUCCCCCUCUCCUCUGGAUUACCAGAAAGUCUUGUUGGUUCUGCCUCCAAAAUGCAUCCUGAUUUUGUUCUCUCUACUACCUGGCACCACCCAGCCUUCAUCCCUGCUCCAACCCAUCCCUCUGGCCUCUUCAGCCUCGUCUCCUCCAUCACUCUGUUCCAGCCACCCUGACCCCCUUGUCCAGGACUUUUCAGCCUCCGGGCCUUUGCACUGGCUAUUCCAUCUGCC